Molecule: ribosomal RNA, 495 nt
Filed under: uncultured bacterium
Lineage: Bacteria
Description: bacterial SSU rRNA
Rfam family: Bacterial small subunit ribosomal RNA
Source: RNAcentral
GAUCAUGGCUCAGAUUGAACGCUGGCGGAAUGCUUUACACAUGCAAGUCGAACGGUAACAGGUCUUCGGAUGCUGACGAGUGGCGAACGGGUGAGUAAUAUAUCGGAACGUGCCCAGUCGUGGGGGAUAACGUAGCGAAAGUUACGCUAAUACCGCAUACGAUCUACGGAUGAAAGCGGGGGAUCGCAAGACCUCGCGCGAUUGGAGCGGCCGAUAUCAGAUUAGGUAGUUGGUGGGGUAAAGGCUCACCAAGCCAACGAUCUGUAGCUGGUCUGAGAGGACGACCAGCCACACUGGAACUGAGACACGGUCCAGACUCCUACGGGAGGCAGCAGUGGGGAAUUUUGGACAAUGGACGCAAGUCUGAUCCAGCCAUUCCGCGUGCAGGAUGAAGGCCCUCGGGUUGUAAACUGCUUUUGUACGGAACGAAAAGGUCUCUAUUAAUACUAGGGGCUCAUGACGGUACCGUAAGAAUAAGCACCGGCUAACUACGUG